RNAcentral lists this ribosomal RNA (686 nucleotides) under uncultured bacterium. Its description in RNAcentral is "bacterial SSU rRNA". It matches the Rfam family "Bacterial small subunit ribosomal RNA", at positions 165 to 852 of the family's 1533-position model. The record is from RNAcentral.
AAUGCCCCAUGGUGAUGUCCUCAGGCAUCUGAGGUCAUCUAAAGAUCCGUCGGAUGGGGAUAGGCUCGCGUGACAUUAGCUAGACGGCGGGGUAACGGCCCACCGUGGCGACGAUGUCUAGGGGUUCUGAGAGGAAGGUCCCCCACACUGGAACUGAGACACGGUCCAGACUCCUACGGGAGGCAGCAGUGAGGAAUAUUGGUCAAUGGCCGGAAGGCUGAACCGGCCAUGCCGCGUGAAGGUCAGUGCCCUAUGGGCGUUAAACUUCUUUUGUGCGGGAGCAAUAAUGGUCACGUGUGGCCAGACGAGAGUACCGUACGAAUAAGCAUCGGCUAACUCCGUGCCAGCAGCCGCGGUAAUACGGGGGAUGCAAGCGUUAUCCGGAUUUAUUGGGUUUAAAGGGUGCGUAGGCUGUGAGGUAAGUCAGCGGUGAAAUGCCCCCGCUCAACGGGGUGAAGUGCCAUUGAUACUGCCUUGCUGGAAUGCGGAUGCCGUGGGAGGAAUGUGUGGUGUAGCGGUGAAAUGCAUAGAUAUCACACAGAACACCGAUUGCGAAGGCAUCUCACGAAUCCGCGAUUGACGCUGAUGCACGAAAGCGUGGGUAUCAAACAGGAUUAGAUACCCUGGUAGUCCACGCUGUAAACGAUGAUGACUAACCGUCGGCGAUACACAGUCGGUGGCCAAGC